Molecule: long non-coding RNA, 447 nt
Organism: Tupaia belangeri chinensis (Chinese tree shrew)
Lineage: Eukaryota; Metazoa; Chordata; Mammalia; Scandentia; Tupaiidae
Exons: 2
Source: RefSeq, a predicted model, not a curated record
CCCCGUGGACAGUACCAUUUUGUCCACUGAGCAGGGCCACUGUGAACAUGGCAACUUACGUUUGGUGCACCUCUGGGAGCCAGGGGCUUUACUCCAGCCAAGGCAGCACUGCCCUCCACACACAUUGACCCUGAAACAAACAAGACCCCUGAGUCCAGCAGCAGUGGCACUCCCAAGAGCCCCUGCUUCCAAGAGGUCCCUGCAAGGCCAGUGCCUGGCUUCCACAUUCCUCUGGAUUCAAAUGAUUCCCACGGGGCACCCAGGAUGCCCACCCCAAAGCUGCCCAAGGACCAGAAGAACCAUAUAUCAGACAAGUAACGGCCAAAGCCCCAGGUGACGCUGCCGGUGCCUCACGCUCAUCUCUGGAGGCCUGUGCUGAGGACAGAGCCCCUGUGUGCCAUAUUCGCAGUGCUCCAGCAUCCACAGUAAACGCAUGUGUUAAAUGAA